UUAAAGAGAAAAUUACAAACCAUAAGCAAAACAAUGAAUAAAUGAUCAAGAAAAAUAUAAAGUCUCAAAUAUUAUUCAUGAAUGGAUUUCAAAAGUUGGAUGCAAAAAGGUUUGAGAAUGAUUAAAAAGUAAAUUGCAAAAAGAAACUAAAAAGAAAAAUGAAAUAAAAAAUAACCAAAAAAUGAAAAAAUAAUUUUAAAAAUGUGAGAAAAAUGUAUGUGAUGCAAAAUAUUUUUAGAGACUUUGUGUAAAAAAUUUGGGUCAAAUUGAAUUAAAAUUGAGGGAGAAGUUAAUUGGAAAAGAAAUGAAAGAGAAAAAAAUAGGUGCCAACGGUCAAGAAAUCCAAAAAAAAACAGGUUGGCACAAUGUGAUUGGUUGAGUUUGAAUCUUGGCAUCAAAACGCAUGCAGUUCAACUUCGUCUUCAACCUUGAGCUCGAUUUCUGCAAAUCACGAACUCGUGUUUUUAGCAACACCCAAGCAUGGAGUUAGUUUCUCAACACAUCAUCGUUCAUGUCUCCCUACAUCGGAGUCAUUGAUUGGCUCUGAGUAAG
RNAcentral lists this long non-coding RNA (552 nucleotides) under Lathyrus oleraceus (garden pea). RNAcentral's name for it is "Pisum sativum (pea) long non-coding RNA (PSAT_LNC016777)". The record is from RNAcentral. Lineage: Eukaryota; Viridiplantae; Streptophyta; Magnoliopsida; Fabales; Fabaceae.